GCACCCGUAGUCUAAUUGGAUAAAACAAGGGCCUCCGACGCCCUCGUUGCGAGUUCGAGCCUCGCCGGGUGCACCA
Molecule: transfer RNA, 76 nt
Filed under: Clostridia bacterium
Lineage: Bacteria; Bacillati; Bacillota; Clostridia
Description: tRNA-Arg
Rfam family: tRNA
About the family: Transfer RNA (tRNA) molecules are approximately 80 nucleotides in length. Their secondary structure includes four short double-helical elements and three loops (D, anti-codon, and T loops).
Source: RNAcentral